UACAGAGGUCCCAAGCGUUGUUCGGAUUCACUGGGCGUAAAGGGUGCGUAGGUGGCCAGGUAAGUUUGGUGUGAAAGCUCGGAGCUUAACUCCGAAAAGUCAUUGAAUACUAUCUGGCUGGAGGGUCGGAGGGGAGACUGGAAUUCUCGGUGUAGCAGUGAAAUGCGUAGAUAUCGAGAGGAACACCAGUGGCGAAGGCGGCAUCCUGGACCGAGACUGACACUGAGGAGCGAAAGCCAGGGGAGCAAACGGG
RNAcentral lists this ribosomal RNA (253 nucleotides) under uncultured bacterium. RNAcentral describes it as "partial 16S ribosomal RNA". It matches the Rfam family "Bacterial small subunit ribosomal RNA", at positions 524 to 776 of the family's 1533-position model. The record is from RNAcentral.